Molecule: ribosomal RNA, 483 nt
Filed under: uncultured bacterium
Lineage: Bacteria
Description: partial 16S ribosomal RNA
Rfam family: Bacterial small subunit ribosomal RNA
Source: RNAcentral
AUUGAACGCUGGCGGCAUGCUUUACACAUGCAAGUCGAACGGCAGCGCGGGCUUCGGCCUGGCGGCGAGUGGCGAACGGGUGAGUAAUGCAUCGGAACGUGCCCAGUAGUGGGGGAUAGCCCGGCGAAAGCCGGAUUAAUACCGCAUACGACCUGAGGGUGAAAGCGGGGGACCGAAAGGCCUCGCGCUAUUGGAGCGGCCGAUGUCGGAUUAGCUAGUUGGUGGGGUAAAGGCUUACCAAGGCGACGAUCCGUAGCUGGUCUGAGAGGACGACCAGCCACACUGGGACUGAGACACGGCCCAGACUACUACGGGAGGCAGCAGUGGGGAAUUGUGGACAAUGGGGCAACCCUGAUCCAGCCAUGCCGCGUGCGGGAAGAAGGCCUUCGGGUUGUAAACCGCUUUUGUUCGGGAAGAAAUCCUCUGGGCUAAUACCCCGGGGGGAUGACGGUACCGGAAGAAUAAGCACCGGCUAACUACGUG